GCCAGAAUUUCGAUGCAAAUUUGGUGUCUUGGUCUGUGAUUAUUUCCUCUGGUGUUCCAUGGUUGAUGAACAUGUUUUGUAAAACCACAUAUGCUGUUUCUGGUGCUGAUGUUGCUUCUUUGAAUGGUAUGAAGUAGAUGUACUUUGUUAAUCUGUCUGUUACUGUUAAGAUAGAGUUGUAGUGUAUAUCUGUUUGAGGUUCUUUUGACUUUGGCAAUUUGACAAUAAAGUCCAUUGCUAUCAAUGCCCAUGGUUUUCAUAAAACUGGUAUUGGCUGCAUCUUUCCGUACGGUGUGUGUCUGCUUGAUUUGCUUUGUUGACACAUGUUGCAAUUCUGUACAUAUUCUUGAAUAUCUUUCCACAUUCCUGGUCAGUAGUACAUUCUGGUGAUUCUUUUCAUUGUUUUAUUGGUUCUGAAAUGUCCUGCAGUUACCGUGUCAUGAUUUUCUUGCAUUAUAUCAUUCUGUGCUGCUUUUGGAACGUAAAUCGAUCUGUUGUGGUAGACUAUUUCAUUGUCUUUGAUCAUGUUUCUAGCCUGUUCAUCACUUGCUGUGGCUUUCCUGAUCUUUUGUAUAUUCUUGUUAUCCACUGAUAGAAUCUUCAUAGCCUGUAUUGCUUGUUGAUUGAAUGCUAUUCCAUCUUCUGCAUCUUUGGUGAAUAUCGCGUGUUUCUGACUUUCCUUUGUCAUUAAGUCUGGUCUUUGGCUUAGUGUAUCUGCCCAGACAUUUUCUUUUCCUUUGCAGUGUUGAAUCUUGAAGUUGUAAGCUGCUAGAGUCUCUGACCAUCUUGCUUGUCUUCUUGUUAAUUUCUUUGUAGUUGUAAAGUACUGCAAGUUGUGGUGAUCUGAUAGUAUGGUGAC
Molecule: small RNA, 859 nt
Filed under: Histoplasma capsulatum var. duboisii H88
Lineage: Eukaryota; Fungi; Ascomycota; Eurotiomycetes; Onygenales; Ajellomycetaceae
Description: Histoplasma capsulatum H88 hypothetical RNA
Source: RNAcentral